Molecule: transfer RNA, 79 nt
Filed under: Sphaerodactylus townsendi
Lineage: Eukaryota; Metazoa; Chordata; Lepidosauria; Squamata; Sphaerodactylidae
Description: tRNA-Ala
Source: RNAcentral
GGCAACCAUAGCAGUAGCUCAGUAGUAGAGCACCUGACUGGCAUGCAAAAGGUGCCAGGUUAAAUCCCUGGCAUUGCCA